Gadus macrocephalus (Pacific cod) is the source of this 606-nucleotide long non-coding RNA. RefSeq lists it as uncharacterized. The transcript has 3 exons. Lineage: Eukaryota; Metazoa; Chordata; Actinopteri; Gadiformes; Gadidae. The record is from RefSeq and is a predicted model, not a curated record.
CCCCAUGAUGAGGCUCCACACGGAUAAGGCUCCACACGGUAAAGGCUCCAACACUUGGGUGUGUGUGUGUGUGUGUGUGUGUGUGUUGCCCCGCCAUGGCACAGAUAAGCAAGGCGGGUGCCGUUUCCAAAGUCAAGUCCGACAGAUAGGGCUCAAGGACCCUCAACGGUCAAAAUGCGCCAAACAAAAUAAACACUGGCCCUGGCGUACCUCUUGGCUCCGCCUGCGUCGGGGGACACGAUGGUGCAGUUCUUCCACUCGCUGAUGUUCUCCUUGAUCCACUUCAGCACGGCGGGCUCGGCGUACAGGUUGUCCACAGGAAUAUCAAAGAAGCCCUGGUUUCAGAACACAAGGGCAGAGGGCCACGGGAGUCAGGGAAACUGGAGCACGGUGUCAUGUGGCAGGAAGCGCCGUGGUGCAGCCACGCUGAAUACUGUCGUCGACAAGCAUUCAUGUCAAAUAAAGGUUUCAGGUUGCACGACCAGGCUCUGUGCCGCCUCCCCACAGAUGCCCUUCUAUAACGUAGUAGGACUGCGCGAUCCAAGAGGAGUGCUCACCUGUAUCUGAGAGGCAUGCAAAUCCAUUGUGAUGAUGUGGUCCGCCCCA